ACGCUUUGGCAGCACACCUACUAAAAUGAGAACAAUGCAAAGAUUAGCAUGGCCCCAUGCACAGGGAUGACAUGAAAAUUAGUGGAGCAUUCCAUUUUUUU
This 101-nucleotide small nuclear RNA is filed under the name Jaculus jaculus (lesser Egyptian jerboa). The record is from RNAcentral. Lineage: Eukaryota; Metazoa; Chordata; Mammalia; Rodentia; Dipodidae.